The sequence is a regulatory RNA element, 91 nucleotides long. It matches the Rfam family "TPP riboswitch aptamer (THI element)". From Rfam's summary of the family: Vitamin B(1) in its active form thiamin pyrophosphate (TPP) is an essential coenzyme that is synthesised by coupling of pyrimidine and thiazole moieties in bacteria. The record is from Rfam.
AUUAAAUAGCUGGGGUGCUUAACGGCUGAGAUUAUACCCAUUGAACCUGAUCUAGGUAAUGCUAGCGGAGGUAAUCUGACAAACAGUUGUC